Anguilla rostrata (American eel) is the source of this 875-nucleotide long non-coding RNA. RefSeq lists it as uncharacterized. NCBI's taxonomy places the organism in Eukaryota, Metazoa, Chordata, Actinopteri, Anguilliformes, Anguillidae. The record is from RefSeq and is a predicted model, not a curated record. The transcript is spliced from 3 exons.
UGAGAGGUCCUUAACUUUGCCUGACAGUCCUCGAUUGAUUGUUCUCGAACUCGCCUCCGCAGGCGAGGACCCCGUGGCGACGGAACCUCUCCAAACUUCGCUAUCCCUCACUGACCCCCCUGUGACGACUUCACGGUCGCAGGAGGGCUAUGGAACUGCCAGUCUGCUACGCGGAAGGCUGACUUCAUUUCAGCCUACGCGUCCCUCUUCUCCCUACAUUUCCUUGCCCUCACUGAGACCUGGAUCACACCAGGCAACACUGCAACCCCUGCAGCCCUCUCCUCCUCCUUCUCCUUCUCUCACGCUCUCCGCCCGUCUGGCCGUGGUGGGGGCACAGGGCCCCUGGGAAGCUUCCUCGAUGAGCUCAACACCCUGCUCAGCUCCUUCCCAGAGAAUGGUGUAAAGGGGAGUCAAACUGGGACCCAGAAAAGGCUGGCAUUUGAACGGGCCUGCAGGCUGGGACUCAUCCUGUACUUCAAAGAACCCAGAGCCGUGUGAUAAAACAAUAAGUUACUUGGACUUCCUCGGGAUAAGCAGGCCAUUUGGCUCUCUGGAAUGUUGCCACUGGACACAUCUAAGAUAAGGGGAACUAGUCUCUUUGUCUAUGGUUGUGGGGGUAUGUGUGUUCGGGCCAUUAAGGGUAAAAAGAUCAUCAGGCCUCUGGACAAAUGGUGGGGCAACUACGCUUGACAGUUCCACAGUGCCGUUAUGUGGGCCCCUCUAUCAUUACACUUUUUAUUUAUUUCUGGAUCUGGACUCUAAACCAUCUGUUUAUCAUAUUUACAAACCCCGGAAAACCUUACAAACCAUGCACGUGUUUUCAUUAUAUUACUGUAUUAUGCCUUAUGUAAUAAUAACAUGGAUUGCAUGUAAAA